RNAcentral lists this ribosomal RNA (484 nucleotides) under uncultured bacterium. RNAcentral's name for it is "partial 16S ribosomal RNA". It matches the Rfam family "Bacterial small subunit ribosomal RNA", at positions 28 to 507 of the family's 1533-position model. The record is from RNAcentral.
AUUGAACGCUGGCGGCGUGCUUUACACAUGCAAGUCGAACGGCAGCGCGGGCUUCGGCCUGGCGGCGAGUGGCGAACGGGUGAGUAAUGCAUCGGAACGUGCCCAGUAGUGGGGGAUAGCCCGGCGAAAGCCGGAUUAAUACCGCAUACGACCUGAGGGUGAAAGCGGGGGACCGAAAGGCCUCGCGCUAUUGGAGCGGCCGAUGUCGGAUUAGCUAGUUGGUGGGGUAAAGGCUUACCAAGGCGACGAUCCGUAGCUGGUCUGAGAGGACGACCAGCCACACUGGGACUGAGACACGGCCCAGACUCCUACGGGAGGCAGCAGUGGGGAAUUUUGGACAAUGGGGGCAACCCUGAUCCAGCCAUGCCGCGUGCGGGAAGAAGGCCUUCGGGUUGUAAACCGCUUUUGUUCGGGAAGAAAUCCUCUGGGCUAAUACCCCGGGGGGAUGGCGGUACCGGAAGAAUAAGCACCGGCUAACUACGUG